GUGCAAUGGCAUAAGCUGGCUUGACUGCGAGAGUGACGGCUCGAGCAGGUGCGAAAGCAGGUCAUAGUGAUCCGGUGGUUCUGUAUGGAAGGGCCAUCGCUCAACGGAUAAAAGGUACUCCGGGGAUAACAGGCUGAUACCGCCCAAGAGUUCAUAUCGACGGCGGUGUUUGGCACCUCGAUGUCGGCUCAUCACAUCCUGGGGCUGAAGUAGGUCCCAAGGGUAUGGCUGUUCGCCAUUUAAAGUGGUACGCGAGCUGGGUUUAGAACGUCGUGAGACAGUUCGGUCCCUAUCUGCCGUGGGCGCUGGAGAAUUGAGGGGGGCUGCUCCCAGUACGAGAGGACCGGAGUGGACGCAUCACUGGUGUUCGGGUUGUCAUGCCAAUGGCACUGCCCGGUAGCUAAAUGCGGAAGAGAUAAGUGCUGAAAGCAUCUAAGCACGAAACUUGCCCCG
This 453-nucleotide ribosomal RNA is filed under the name Cronobacter sakazakii. Its description in RNAcentral is "partial 23S ribosomal RNA". It matches the Rfam family "Bacterial large subunit ribosomal RNA", at positions 2349 to 2801 of the family's 2925-position model. Lineage: Bacteria; Pseudomonadati; Pseudomonadota; Gammaproteobacteria; Enterobacterales; Enterobacteriaceae. The record is from RNAcentral.